Triticum aestivum (bread wheat) is the source of this 136-nucleotide non-coding RNA. The record is from Rfam. NCBI's taxonomy places the organism in Eukaryota, Viridiplantae, Streptophyta, Magnoliopsida, Poales, Poaceae.
AUUCUACUCCCUCCGUUACACAAUACAUGCCUUCUAUUUGUCAAAAUAUAUAUGUAUCUAGACAUGUUUUAGUAUAUAGGUACAUCCAUUUUUGGACAAAUGGAAGUCAAGUAUUUUGGAACGGAGGGAGUACACA